GACGAACGCUGGCGGCGUGCUUAACACAUGCAAGUCGUACGGUAAGGCCCUUUCGGGGGUACACGAGUGGCGAACGGGUGAGUAACACGUGAGUAACCUGCCCACAACUUUGGGAUAACGCUAGGAAACUGGUGCUAAUACUGGAUAUGUGCUCCUGCUGCAUGGUGGGGGUUGGAAAGCUCCGGCGGUUGUGGAUGGACUCGCGGCCUAUCAGCUUGUUGGUGGGGUAGUGGCCUACCAAGGCGGCGACGGGUAGCCGGCCUGAGAGGGUGACCGGCCACAUUGGGACUGAGAUACGGCCCAGCCUCCUACGGGAGGCAGCAGUGGGGAAUAUUGCACCAUGCGCGCAAGCCUGAUGCAGCAACGCCGCGUGCGGGAUGACGGCCUUCGGGUUGUCAACCGCUUUCAGCAGGGACGAAGCUUUUUGUGACGGUACCUGCAGAAGAAGCACCGGCUAACUACGUG
This 465-nucleotide ribosomal RNA is filed under the name uncultured bacterium. RNAcentral describes it as "partial 16S ribosomal RNA". It matches the Rfam family "Bacterial small subunit ribosomal RNA", at positions 28 to 507 of the family's 1533-position model. The record is from RNAcentral.